AGUCACUGACAUUAGAUACCCGUGUAGUCCAGGGUGUAAACGCUGCAGACUUUGGUGUUGGAAGCCCUUUGGGGGCAUUCAGUGCCGGAGAGAGGUUGUUAAGUCUGCUACUUGGGGAGUACGUCCGCAAGGAUGAAACUUAAAGGAAUUGGCGGGGAGCACCGCAACGGGAGGAGCGUGCGGUUUAAUUGGAUUCAACACCGUAAACUCACCAGGGAAGACUGUUACAUGAAGGCCGAGAUGAAGACUCUGCUAGAUUUUCAG
Molecule: ribosomal RNA, 264 nt
Filed under: uncultured archaeon
Lineage: Archaea
Description: partial 16S ribosomal RNA
Rfam family: Archaeal small subunit ribosomal RNA
Source: RNAcentral